Molecule: long non-coding RNA, 927 nt
Filed under: Lathyrus oleraceus (garden pea)
Lineage: Eukaryota; Viridiplantae; Streptophyta; Magnoliopsida; Fabales; Fabaceae
Description: Pisum sativum (pea) long non-coding RNA (PSAT_LNC042076)
Source: RNAcentral
UUGAAGAGAAAAUUUUGAUACUGGGUAGCAAACGAGUUUUAUUUAGGUCUGUUUUGCCACAAAAAAAAAAUUAGUGAGCAGACUAAAAUGUUAUGGAAAUUCUUCUUCUUUUUAACAUAUUUAAAUAUGCAUACAUGAAGUGUAUCUAAAAAUUCCCAUAAGAAUAAAAUGUGAAUUCAUAUAAGAAGGUUUAUGAUUGGGCUAUAAGUCCUAUUCCAUUGCAUCCCAUCUCCUCUUUGCUAGAAGGUUCUUUGAUGGAGCCCACCUCCCACAUGGUCAUAUAGUGACCUUGCCGGACUUCCCUUUCAAAUCCAUAGUUUUCCUCAAUCAGAAAUGAGUCACUAUCAGAUUGGAGUUAAAGUUUGAUAAGAUUUCUCUUGGGUCCUUUAUGCCUCAUUAACUUAACACUUCCUCAAACAUGUUCACACUAAGCAUAUAAGAAUUUAACUUUUCACUUUAAACAUCUUCUUGAAUCAAAAUCAAGGUUUGAGAUUGCAUUGCUGGUUUUUCCAGAUAUCAAGAUGGCCUUAAAGUUGUUCUAUAAAAAAAGAAUAGUGAAUCUUGAGUGAAAAAAAUAAACUUGUAAUGGUACAUAAAUAAAUAGGACCACAACUAUUUUAGAAUUAUUGUUGUAAUUUUAGUGUAAUGGAUAGAAAUAAAAGUGGAAAGAAACAAUAGAGUACUAUGUACCUGGAAAUGAAUGGACAAGUAAUAGAUGAUGAUAUGUUAUUUUCUAUAGACAUGUGUAAUGAUAGAUAGGUGCAUGGAGUUAACAGAGUUUAUGAUGAUGAUGAUAUGAAAUGUGGUGACAGUGGGAGUGGCAGUGCAUUGGGAAACAGCUCCCGCGCUGUUCCCGCGCGACCUUCUGAAUUUAUAUACUUUUAGGGGGCCCGGCCCUCUACUCAGAAAUAUGGAGUAAUUGGUUUU